GAUGAACGCUGGCGGCGUGCUUAACACAUGCAAGUCGAACGAUGAAGCCCAGCUUGCUGGGUGGAUUAGUGGCGAACGGGUGAGUAACACGUGAGUAACCUGCCCUUAACUCUGGGAUAAGCCUGGGAAACUGGGUCUAAUACCGGAUAGGAGCGCCUACCGCAUGGUGGGUGUUGGAAAGAUUUAUCGGUUUUGGAUGGACUCGCGGCCUAUCAGCUUGUUGGUGAGGUAAUGGCUCACCAAGGCGACGACGGGUAGCCGGCCUGAGAGGGUGACCGGCCACACUGGGACUGAGACACGGCCCAGACUCCUACGGGAGGCAGCAGUGGGGAAUAUUGCACAAUGGGCGAAAGCCUGAUGCAGCGACGCCGCGUGAGGGAUGACGGCCUUCGGGUUGUAAACCUCUUUCAGUAGGGAAGAAGCGAAAGUGACGGUACCUGCAGAAGAAGCACCGGCUAACUACGUGCCAGCAGCCGCGGUAAUACGUAGGGUGCGAGCGUUAUCCGGAAUUAUUGGGCGUAAAGAGCUCGUAGGCGGUUUGUCGCGUCUGUCGUGAAAGUCCGGGGCUUAACCCCGGACCUGCGGUGGGUACGGGCAGACUAGAGUGCAGUAGGGGAGACUGGAAUUCCUGGUGUAGCGGUGGAAUGCGCAGAUAUCAGGAGGAACACCGAUGGCGAAGGCAGGUCUCUGGGCUGUAACUGACGCUGAGGAGCGAAAGCAUGGGGAGCGAACAGGAUUAGAUACCCUGGUAGUCCAUGCCGUAAACGUUGGGCACUAGGUGUGGGGACCAUUCCACGGUUUCCGCGCCGCAGCUAACGCAUUAAGUGCCCCGCCUGGGGAGUACGGCCGCAAGGCUAAAACUCAAAGGAAUUGACGGGGGCCCGCACAAGCGGCGGAGCAUGCGGAUUAAUUCGAUGCAACGCGAAGAACCUUACCAAGGCUUGACAUGUUCCCGAUCGCCGUAGAGAUACGGUUUCCCCUUUGGGGCGGGUUCACAGGUGGUGCAUGGUUGUCGCCAGCUCGUGUCGUGAGAUGUUGGGUUAAGUCCCGCAACGAGCGCAACCCUCGUUCCAUGUUGCCAGCACGUAAUGGUGGGGACUCAUGGGAGACUGCCGGGGUCGACUCGGAGGAAGGUGAGGACGACGUCAAAUCAUCAUGCCCCUUAUGUCUUGGGCUUCACGCAUGCUACAAUGGCCGGUACAAUGGGUUGCGAUACUGUGAGGUGGAGCUAAUCCCAAAAAGCCGGUCUCAGUUCGGAUUGGGGUCUGCAACUCGACCCCAUGAAGUCGGAGUCGCUAGUAAUCGCAGAUCAGCAACGCUGCGGUGAAUACGUUCCCGGGCCU
This 1343-nucleotide ribosomal RNA is filed under the name uncultured bacterium. RNAcentral describes it as "bacterial SSU rRNA". It matches the Rfam family "Bacterial small subunit ribosomal RNA", at positions 28 to 1381 of the family's 1533-position model. The record is from RNAcentral.